UACAAUAUGUCGUGUUAUUUAUAAAAUUAUGGAAUGGUAGAAAUAUAUACUAAUGCUAUUCCUUCUCCUUUCAGAUAAAAACUUUGUUAUGAGAUCCCUUCAGGGACAGAUAUUCACCUUUAUAUUUCAUCACUUCCAGCACUACGUGAAGUCAAAAUAAAGGACUACCACUUAUGGACUUUAACUGAUCUUUUAUUAUGUUCUUUUUGAUGGGCAUUUUUGAUAAAAAUAUUUUCACUAAAUUUUUCUACUAAACAGGUUUUUACUGCAAUAUCUUUUAACAUUGUCCUUUUUAACUGCAUUUUCCACUAUGAAAUUUUAUAUCAGUGUAUUGUUAAUUGGCACCUGGAUGCAUAUUUUUUCACUUUAACAUUGCAUUUUAAAUGGCAUCUUGAUAUGUAAAAAUCUUUUUCAAUGCAAAGUACUUUUUUCACAGCAAUGCUUGUUAAAUAUGCUAAUUUGUUAAUUGCACACCCUUUAAAUCAUGUCUGCACUUGUCCACACUAUGCUUGACAAAGGGGCGUGACCCCGAAACGUUGCACUACUGCAUAAUAAAAUUGCAAGGGCUUGCCCUGCUACUACAA
Xenopus laevis (African clawed frog) is the source of this 584-nucleotide long non-coding RNA. RefSeq lists it as uncharacterized. The record is from RefSeq and is a predicted model, not a curated record. NCBI's taxonomy places the organism in Eukaryota, Metazoa, Chordata, Amphibia, Anura, Pipidae. The transcript is spliced from 2 exons.